RNAcentral lists this ribosomal RNA (483 nucleotides) under uncultured Desulfocapsa sp. RNAcentral describes it as "bacterial SSU rRNA". It matches the Rfam family "Bacterial small subunit ribosomal RNA", at positions 901 to 1382 of the family's 1533-position model. The record is from RNAcentral. Lineage: Bacteria; Pseudomonadati; Thermodesulfobacteriota; Desulfobulbia; Desulfobulbales; Desulfocapsaceae.
UCAAAGGAAUUGACGGGGCCCGCACAAGCGGUGGAGCAUGUGGUUUAAUUCGAUGCAACGCGAAGAACCUUACCUGGGCUUGACAUCCCGGGAAUCCCCUGGGAAACAGGGGAGUGCCCUUUCGGGGAACCCGGUGACAGGUGCUGCAUGGCUGUCGUCAGCUCGUGUCGUGAGAUGUUGGGUUAAGUCCCGCAACGAGCGCAACCCUUGUCUUUAAUUGCCAUCAUUUAGUUGGGCACUUUAAAGAGACUGCCGGUGUUAAGCCGGAGGAAGGUGGGGAUGACGUCAAGUCCUCAUGGCCUUUAUGACCAGGGCUACACACGUACUACAAUGGCCGGUACAAAGGGCAGCGACACAGCGAUGUGAAGCGAAUCCCGAAAAGCCGGUCUCAGUCCGGAUUGGAGUCUGCAACUCGACUCCAUGAAGUUGGAAUCGCUAGUAAUCGCGGAUCAGCACGCCGCGGUGAAUACGUUCCCGGGCCUU